Molecule: ribosomal RNA, 499 nt
Filed under: uncultured soil bacterium
Lineage: Bacteria
Description: bacterial SSU rRNA
Rfam family: Bacterial small subunit ribosomal RNA
Source: RNAcentral
AGAAUGAACGCUGGCGGCGCGCCUAAUACAUGCAAGUCGAGCGAGAAGACGUAGCAAUACGUUUGUAAAGCGGCGAACGGGUGAGGAAUACAUGGGUAACCUACCCUCGAGUGGGGAAUAACUAGCCGAAAGGUUAGCUAAUACCGCGUACGCUCCUUGGACUUCGGUUCAGGGAGGAAAGCGAUACCGUGGGUAUCGCGCUCUUGGUUGGGCUCAUGUCCUAUCAGCUUGUUGGUGAGGUAACGGCUCACCAAGGCUUCGACGGGUAGCUGGUCUGAGAGGACGAUCAGCCACACUGGCACUGCGACACGGGCCAGACUCCUACGGGAGGCAGCAGUAAGGAAUAUUGCGCAAUGGGCGAAAGCCUGACGCAGCGACGCCGCGUGGGGGAUGAAGGUCUUCGGAUUGUAAACCCCUUUCGGAGGAAGAUGGAACGAGCAAUCGUUCGGACGGUACCUCCAGAAGCAGCCAGGCUAACUCGUGCCAGCAGCCGCGUAAU